UUCACUAGGGGGUUUGGGGAGGCAGCGGAGCUUACCAAGCAAGAGGGUCGAGGCACUCUUUCAUUUUUUUUUAUUUUUUACUCUAGCUGGUGACAGCAUUUGAACCUCCGGAUCCGGUGUUACAUGCCUGUUAAUAAAUAGUAGCUAACUGGCUACAUGUCAGGCUAGUCUGGUCUAUGCUUUACAACGCUACUUUUUAGCCACAGAAGAUGAAGCAAACAUGUCUCUCUAUGAGUGGCAAUAGAUUGAACUACUCAGGAGAAUAAAAAUUGCUGACAAAAUGGCGAGUUCAUCCAAUGAAGAGAAUACACGAGCUGGAGAAUACACGAGCUGGAGAAUACACGAGCUGGAGAAUACACGUCUGUUGUUCAACCUUUGUGAAGCAAUGAUGAGGAAAGACAUUUUCAAUACUUUCGGAUGUCGGAUGCCAGAUUUGACCACUUGCAUCAGCGACUUCCCCCUAACCUCCAGCACAAGAGAACUCACAGCUUGACCGUCAUUGCUUCAGGAAGGCUGUCUUUGACAUGUUUUUUUUUGCCAGUGGCAGCACACAGAAAGAAGUGUGCCACGCAAUCUGGCAUGUCCUGAAGGAGGAUUUUGUUGCUUAUCCCUCUGUGGCAAAAAAUGGGCUUCACCAUGGUCGACGUGAACACAUAGCCGAGAGGGAAAUGCAGGAAUCUUUUCCCGAAGCAAGUUGAGCUCCCAACUCAUUACAGGCCAUCUGCCACUACCAAGGUCAGAGAGCUUGCCGGGGACCCAAACACAGAGCCUAUGUUUUCGUGGAAGAUGAGGCAUUCCCUCUGAUGGUAAAUCUAAUGCGACCAUAUCCAGAUUCUUCUGGCUUUAAUGGCGCCAAGAAGAUCUACAACUAUCACCAUUCAAUAGCCAGAAGAAUUUCAGAGAACUGCUUUGGGAUCCUUGCUGCAAGAUGGAGGAUCCUGAGACGAGCCCUUGAGGUUGGCCCAGCUGUUCAAGUGCCUUUUCAGGAUGCUGCGAUCACGUGUGGCAGCCUACAGUAAAUGUUGGAGUGUGGUUUGGAAAACGUGUGCACAUACACUAAGUGUACAAAACAUUAGGAACACCUUCAGAACAGUCGCUAUUCGUCGGGGCAUGGACUACAAGGUGUUGAAAGCGUUCCACAGCGAUGCUGGCCCAUGUUUAUUCUAAUGCUUCCCACAGUUGUGUCAAGUUGGCUGGAUGUCCUUUGGGUGGUGGACCAUUCUUGAUACACAGCAGUGUUGCAGUCCUUGACACAUACCGGUGUGCCUGGCACCUACUACCAUAAUCCAUUCAAAGGCACUUUAAUAUUUUGUCUUGCCAUUUACCCUCUGAAGGGCACACAUACACAAUACAUGUCUCAAUUGUCUCAAGUCUUACAAAUCCUUUUUUAACCUGUCUUCUCCCCUUUAUCGACACUGAUUGAAAAGUUGUCUGGACUACGAGAGACCUCCGCCGACGACUCAAUCUGCACCCAUCGCAUCAUUGUCCAUAACAAACAGGGUAGGCAGGGGUAUUAAGGGUGUGCAACAUUUAUUUUCUGUUAAAUAAAUAACAUUUUUUAGCAAAGAGUUUUUAGCAAAGAUCUUUAUCGAAAACGUGUUGUGAUUGGAGCUCUGGAUUUUCCACACUGCAUUUUUUAAACAAAAAUAGCAGAGAUGUGCUUUAGAAAUAGCAACUUGGAUGAAAUAUGACGAUGUUUGCCUUUCCGUGCUUUGUAUAGCCUACUACUGAAUAUGGUGCAAAUGUAUGCUCAGAUAUGUCAACUUCAUGUGAAGAAGCACAAUGAUUUUCGGUAACCUGAAGAGGUAAAAUUAUUUGUCCGUUGGGCAUUUCAUGAGUCGAAUUUAUCCCAUUUUCUAUCAGACAUACGAGGAUGAAUAUUACAUAUCAUGUAAGGAUAUCUAUUGAAAUUAUGAAAAAAUAAAUAAAUACAGAUACAUAAAUGA
Long non-coding RNA from Oncorhynchus kisutch (coho salmon), 1946 nucleotides. RefSeq lists it as uncharacterized. NCBI's taxonomy places the organism in Eukaryota, Metazoa, Chordata, Actinopteri, Salmoniformes, Salmonidae. The transcript has 2 exons. The record is from RefSeq and is a predicted model, not a curated record.